Molecule: ribosomal RNA, 1974 nt
Filed under: Triticum aestivum (bread wheat)
Lineage: Eukaryota; Viridiplantae; Streptophyta; Magnoliopsida; Poales; Poaceae
Description: partial small subunit ribosomal RNA
Source: RNAcentral
AUGGUGAGGGACAACCCGACAGUCGCCGCCCUCUCAGCGCUUCUUGCCCGCUCCGCUUCUCUGUCCGCCGCUGCGGCGCUCCACGCCCGCCUCCUCCGCUCCUCGCGCCUCUUCAGCCACCCCUUCCUCGCCAACUGCCUCGCCGCCGCUUACUCCCGCCUCGGCGCCACCCCUGCCGCCAUCGCCCUGCUCACCCACGCGCCCGGCGGCGCAGCCAACCGCUUCUCCCACAACAUCCUCCUCGCCGCACUGCUCAAGUCCCGUGACCUCCCGGCGGCGCGGAGGCUGUUCGACGAAAUGCCUCUCAGGGACACCGUGGCCUACAAUUCCAUGAUCUCCGGCUACGCUCAAAGCGGGCGCGCCGAGGAGGCGCUCCGGCUUGUGCGCAGGAUGAGGGAGCUAGGCGUCAGGCCUAGCGCCUUCACCUUCUCCAUUGUCUCGUCCGCGGUCUGCUCUGCUCCCCACGGGAUGCAGGUCCAUGCAGCUGCUGUCCGUCACGGCUCUGCCCAACACAAUGCCGUCGUCGGCAACACGCUUGUCGACAUGUAUCGGCGUGUCGGCCUCUUGGAAUAUGCCAUGCGCGUCUUUUGGAGUAUGAAUGAACUGGACAUGGUUUCGAUGAACUCUGUCAUGUCAGUGUACAAGGAUGAUGGCCAGAGCAGUGCGGUGUUUGAGUGUUUCCGGUUGACUAGAAGCCAUGGGUUUUCGGUUGACGAAUGCAGUGUGUCAACGGUGCUUACCGCGUGCACAGAUAUCGAGGAUUUGGCUAAGGGUGACCAGCUCUUGGCCCUCUGCGUCAAAACAGGACUCCUGUCAAAUUCUAUCAUCUGUAGUGCUGUGAUCGGCCUAUUGUCCAUGUCUGACAGACUACCUGAUGCUGUCAGGCUUUUCGAGGGACUAACAAAAUGGGACUCAGAAACAUGUAACGCAAUGAUAUCGUGCUAUGCCAGGACUGGUUUGAUGGAGCAAGCUCUGGGCCUCUUUGUGAUUGCUCUGCGAAAUGCUGUUCUUCCAACUGAGUUCACUUUUGCGAGUGUGCUGAGAUGGAGUUCGUGUUUUGGUCUGAUGGAGCAGGGCACCCAAAUCCAUGCGCUGGUAUGUAAAUGUGGGUUUGAGGAUGAUAUGAUUGUUGCCACUGCUCUCAUUGACAUGUAUUGUAAGUUAGGUUCCUUGAAGCAUGCCAGGAAACUCUUCGAUAGUGUUUGUGUCAAGGAUUUGGUGUUAUGGAAUACAAUGAUCAUCGGUCUAUCGCAGAAUGGGAGAGGUAGGGAAGCUCUUGGAGUGUUUUGGUGGAUGCUGGACUGUGGUGUCAAGCCAGAUAGAAUUACUCUUUUCGGAGCUUUAUCUGCUUGUAGCUUGGGAGGUCUGGUUAAUGAAGCAAUGGAUAUAAUUUCCCUGUUUAAAGCCAAGUACCAUGUCGUCCCUGGUCUGGAGCACUAUGCAUGUGUGGCUGACAUGUUAAGCCGUGCAGGAUUGUUUAGAGAGGCAGAAGAUCUAGUCCAGCACAAGUUGCAGAAAUGCAAUACUGCUGCCCUCCUCAAUAUUCUUGAGGCUUGCAUGAUUCAAGGGGAUUUCGCCAUGGCAGAGUCAAUCGCAGAGAAUAUGUUGAAACUGAAGCCUCGGUCAUCACUGCCAUACACUGUUCUGGCUCGAACAUAUGGUGCAAGAUGUAAGUGGGAAAGCAUGGCCAGAAUGUGGAGGUCAAUGGAAGCUUUAGGUGCAAAGAAGGCUGGGGAAUGUAGCUGGCUCUGCAUCAAGAAUGAAAUCCAUGUGUUUACAUCUGAAGAAAUAUUGCAUCAAGGAAGCGAAGCUACGUAUGCAGUUUUAGAUCUAUUGUUCUGGGACAUGAUGGAUGAGAUCUCCAUGAUGGAUUGCAUUCAUGCUCCUGGUUGUGUUGAUAUAAUUCAUACACAAGAUCCCAAGGAGAGUAAGGGAUUUGAUUGCCUUCAGCAGUUCCUGGAUUGCACUCUGUGA